Mytilus californianus (California mussel) is the source of this 2082-nucleotide long non-coding RNA. RefSeq lists it as uncharacterized. The record is from RefSeq and is a predicted model, not a curated record. The transcript has 3 exons. NCBI's taxonomy places the organism in Eukaryota, Metazoa, Mollusca, Bivalvia, Mytilida, Mytilidae.
AAAUGCGUUUUGUUUAAAUAUACUUUUUCACUUUUUUGGUCUUUUGGAAAAUCUUGUUUGUGCUGUAUUUAGACCCCUCUACCAAGAAAUUUGUUUUGCAUGCACACGUAUAAAAAUUGCGGUUUUUAUCCAACGCAAUCAUAGGUUUGAACGUUGUUUUCAAUUUAGACUUGUUUAUAUUUUUUCGCUUGGGCUUGUAUUAUAUUUGCCUUCGGGUUUAUAUGAUCCGUUCAUCCUAUUUCGACUCUUCAAAAUUCAAGAGUCUAUCCUAAAUUGAGGUAAAUUAUAUAGCCUUCCAAAUACCGUUUCGAUUCCUAACAUCACUGAAGAGACAUUAAUUGUCGAAAUCCGGAUAUGGUGUACAAAGUUUUGCACCUUAUGUUUGCAGUAUACCAUCUUUUCCGCAAGUUUAUUGUUUUCUAUUUGGUAUAAAAUUAAUAAAUUAAAUAAAGAUCCAUUUUGUUCCAUCUUGUGAUCCGUUUAUUUGGCAAUCGCCAAUGACAGUCAGCAGGGUUUAAGAACAUCAGUUGUUCGACCUGUUAGUCAAAUGCGUUUUGUUUAAAUAUACUUUUUCACUUUUUUGGUCUUUAGGAAAAUGUUGUUUGUGCUGUAUUCAGACCCCUCUACCAAGAAAUUUGUUUUGCAUGCACACGUAUAAAAAUUGCGGUUUUUAUCCAACGCAAUCAUAGGUUUGAACGUUGUUUUCAAUUUAGACUUAUUUAUAUUUUUUUUCGCGUUUGGGCUUGUAUUAUAUUUGCCUUCGGGUUUAUAUGAUCCGUUCAUCUUAUUUCGACUCUUUAAAAUUCAAGAGUCUAUCCUAAAUUGAGGUAAAUUAUAUGGCCUUCCAAAUACCGUUUCAAUUCCUAAUAUUACUGAAGAGACAUUAAUUGUCGAAAUCCGGAUAUGGUGUACAAAUUUUUGCAACUUAUGUUUGCGGUAUACCAUAUUUUCCGCAAGUUUAUUGUUUUCUAUUUGGUAUUAAAUUAAUAAAUUAAAUAAAGAUCCAUUUUGUUACAUCUUGUGAUCCGUUUAUUUGGCAAUCGCCAAUGGCAGUCAGCAGGGUUUAAGAACAUCAGUUGUUCGACCUGUUAGUCAAAUGCGUUUUGAUUAAAUAUACUUUUUCACUUUUUGGUCUUUUGGAAAAUGUUGUUUGUGCUGUAUUUAGACCCCCCUACCAAGAAAUUUGUUUUGCAUGCACACGUAUAAAAAUUGAGGUUUUUAUCCAACGCAAUCAUAUAUUUGAAUGUUGUUUUCAAUUUAGACUUAUUUAUAUUUUUUUCGCUUGGGCUUGUAUUAUAUUUGCCUUCGGGUUUAUAUGAUCCGUUCAUCCUAUUUCGACUCUCUAAAAUUCAAGAGUCUAUCCUAAAUUGAGGUAAAUUGUAUGGCUUUCCAAAUACCGUUUCGAUUCCUAACAUCACUGAAGAGACAUUAAUUGUCGAAAUCCGGAUAUGGUGUACAAAAACCUUUGCACCUUUUGUUUGCGGUAUACCAUCCUUUCCGCAAGUUUAUUGUUUUCUGUUUAGUAUCAAAUUUAUAAUUAAGAUCCAUUUAUUACAUCGGUGAUCCGUUUAUUUGGCAAUCGCCAAUGGCAGUCAACAGGGUUUAAGAACAUUUGUUGUUCGACCUGUUAGUCAAAUGCGUUUUGUUAAAAUAUACUUUUUCACUUUUUUUGGUCUUUUGGAAAAUGUUGUUUGUGCUGUAUUUAGACCCCUCUACCAAGAAAUUUGUUUUGCAUGCACACGUAUAAAAAUUGCGAUUUUUAUCCAACGCAAUCAUAGGUUUGAACGUUGUUUUCAAUUUAGACUUGUUUAUAUUCUUUCGUUUGGGCUUGUAUUAUAUUUGCCUUCGGGUUUAUAUGAUCCGUUCAUCCUAUUUUGACUCCUCAAAAUUCAAGAGUCUAUCCUAAAUUGAGGUAAAUUAUAUGGCCUUCCAAAUACCGUUUCGAUUCCUAACAUCACUGAAGAGACAUUAAUUGUCGAAAUCCGGAUAUGGUGUACAAAUUUUUGCACCUCAUGUUUGCGGUAUACCAUCUUUUCCGCAAGUUUAUUGUUUUCUAUUUGGUAUUAAAUUAAUAAAUUAAAU